RNAcentral lists this long non-coding RNA (231 nucleotides) under Prunus persica (peach). RNAcentral describes it as "long non-coding RNA (PPER_LNC008515)". The record is from RNAcentral. Lineage: Eukaryota; Viridiplantae; Streptophyta; Magnoliopsida; Rosales; Rosaceae.
AAAAAAGUUGCUAUUGCUGUACUUUGAAAAUAAUUAAUUGUAAAAUAAAACAACUCCAUGUUUGAUAAACAACAUUUUUAAAGUAUUGUUAAUACAAAUAGUAGUGUUAAAACCGUUUGUCAAAUUUUAAUAUAAAAUCGUUAUAAAUGUGAAUAAUGACUAAAAUAGACAUGAUAUUGAAAGUAUCAUGCGCUAAUCAUGCGGUGGUAGUGGUGGAGAUAGUGGUGAAAG